AGUGACCUCAGGUCAGGCGG
RNAcentral lists this ribosomal RNA (20 nucleotides) under Poitea carinalis. RNAcentral describes it as "partial large subunit ribosomal RNA". The record is from RNAcentral. Lineage: Eukaryota; Viridiplantae; Streptophyta; Magnoliopsida; Fabales; Fabaceae. RNAcentral also lists the same sequence under 1 other name.